This 747-nucleotide ribosomal RNA is filed under the name uncultured bacterium. Its description in RNAcentral is "bacterial SSU rRNA". It matches the Rfam family "Bacterial small subunit ribosomal RNA", at positions 8 to 744 of the family's 1533-position model. The record is from RNAcentral.
AGAGUUUGAUCCUGGCUCAGAUUGAACGCUGGCGGCAGGCCUAACACAUGCAAGUCGAACGGUAGCACAGAGAAGCUUGCUUCUUGGGUGACGAGUGGCGGACGGGUGAGUAAUGUCUGGGAAACUGCCCGAUGGAGGGGGAUAACUACUGGAAACGGUAGCUAAUACCGCAUAAUGUCGCAAGACCAAAGAGGGGGACCUUCGGGCCUCUUGCCAUCGGAUGUGCCCAGAUGGGAUUAGCUAGUAGGUGGGGUAACGGCUCACCUAGGCGACGAUCCCUAGCUGGUCUGAGAGGAUGACCAGCCACACUGGAACUGAGACACGGUCCAGACUCCUACGGGAGGCAGCAGUGGGGAAUAUUGCACAAUGGGCGCAAGCCUGAUGCAGCCAUGCCGCGUGUAUGAAGAAGGCCUUCGGGUUGUAAAGUACUUUCAGCGGGGAGGAAGGCGAUACGGUUAAUAACCGUGUCGAUUGACGUUACCCGCAGAAGAAGCACCGGCUAACUCCGUGCCAGCAGCCGCGGUAAUACGGAGGGUGCAAGCGUUAAUCGGAAUUACUGGGCGUAAAGCGCACGCAGGCGGUCUGUCAAGUCGGAUGUGAAAUCCCCGGGCUCAACCUGGGAACUGCAUCCGAAACUGGCAGGCUAGAGUCUUGUAGAGGGGGGUAGAAUUCCAGGUGUAGCGGUGAAAUGCGUAGAGAUCUGGAGGAAUACCGGUGGCGAAGGCGGCCCCCUGGACAAAGACUGAC